Molecule: long non-coding RNA, 890 nt
Organism: Alligator sinensis (Chinese alligator)
Lineage: Eukaryota; Metazoa; Chordata; Crocodylia; Alligatoridae
Exons: 3
Source: RefSeq, a predicted model, not a curated record
GGCACUGGGGGCACACUGCCUAUAGCUACUGCCUGUUGCUGCAAGUGUGGGGAGGGAGAGUGGACUCAAGGCAGCAGGGCUGGAGGAGGCGGGGACGCAUGGGGAUGUGCCUGUGCCUGGCCUAAUCUCACGGCUACAAUUUUUCUGGGUCAGUGUGGAUUUGAGCAAAUUGAUAAACACACAUACACAUGCAUCCGUGUGCGGCUGUUCCUGGUACACACAUACGCAUGCACACAUGGCUGAUCCUGGUCCCCCACCCAGGCGCAGCUGGAGGGGGGAAUGGUAGGGGGGGAGGGCAGUGUCAGGCCCAGGCCAAGAGUCUGAGCAUGAACUCUGGAGUGGUUCUGACAUAUCUUGAAUAACCAAGCUCCGUCCAGCCUCUCCCAAACUCCCCGCCUAACACCACCCCCACUGCUGCCUGGCACUGCUCCCACUGCACUAGACACAGGCAGCUUGGUGCGCCCGCAGACAGGCGCACAGCUAGACAGACACACAGCCCAGCAUGUCAGACAGUCCCAGCACAGGGGAGGCUCUCAAGGACGAGACCCCCGACGCACCCAACGGGAAGCCACCCUGUGCCGAACUCAAAACAGCCAUGGAGAAAUGUGUGAAGGAGAAGGGAGAGGACUCAUGCAAGGAGCUGCUGGAAUCAUACCACAAGUGUCUGCAUGCCCUGGGGAUCAAAACCUAAAAGGACCCCCCGUGGUCCUGGUGUGGCCGAGUGGCACGUGGCCCCCUGCUGUCCUCUCCUCAAGGGGUCACAGUGGGGGCCAGCUACAAGAACAAAGGGCUGGAGUGCAAGGAGCAGUGCAAUACCAAGAAAAGGUGGCAGCUGUGGAUUGGGGCCAUGGAGGUCCCCACUGCAAUAAAAUCUAUACAUUUUAACCUGG